RNAcentral lists this unclassified non-coding RNA (1960 nucleotides) under uncultured fungus. Its description in RNAcentral is "sequence contains 18S rRNA gene, ITS1, 5.8S rRNA gene, ITS2, 28S rRNA gene". The stretch from base 829 to 1960 matches the Rfam family "Eukaryotic large subunit ribosomal RNA", at positions 1 to 961 of the family's 3401-position model. The record is from RNAcentral. Lineage: Eukaryota; Fungi.
GGAAGGAUCAUUAACACGUUAAACACGUUUAAUAACCCCAAAACGUGCGCACUGUAAUUGACUGAUCUUCAUGCUUGGUAAGGCAGCUGGGAACCCUUUGGAAGGGCAUAGUUCCCAGUCGCUAUAUUCCUUUUUAGGAGCAAGCAUGUUUGGUUCGGUAUUUUAUGCUCUUCUCGCUAGGGAUAUGAAAGUUGCUUGCAAUUUUCUAUUUUUAGCGGUAUUAAUAACUCUGUAAAAUUUUGACUAAAAUUGUGCUCUUGGAAUUAGGCCUUACAGGCAGCUAAGUCUAUUUGCACGUUAAACUUUAACAAAAGAACAACUCUUAGCAACGGAUAUCUCGGCUCUCGUAACGAUGAAGAACGCAGCGAAAUGCGAUACGUAAUGCGAAUUGCAGAAUUCAGUGAAUCAUCAAAUCUUUGAACGCAACUUGCACUUUCGGGUAGCCCCGGGAGUAUACCUCUCUGACUAUCGGUUCCACCAAAACUCGACUGCGUGUUGGCAAGGUGAACUAAUUUAACCUUGGCCGCUCGUGGAUUCGGAGGAUGAAUGUGUUGCAGUAAAUUGUAACUCAUUUUGAGUGAGCGCGCCUAUUUACUUCAGCUUGGAAAUGUUGAUUAUUUUAAACCUUAUCCUUCUAUGGAUGGUAUUGAUCAAUAGUGGCAAUCCUGCUGAUGUUUGAUAAGAGACACUCGUUGUCUUUACAAAACAUCUACAUCGGCUGGAAGUCCAGAUCAAUCGAGUCAAAGGAGUUUGAGGGAUCAACUAGCAUUUCAAGUGCGAAGGAAUAGCGUCAGACGAACCAUCUAGGGUUCAACAUAAAUCGAAUUUUGAUGUCAGAUGAAGUAAGAGAACCCGCUGAAUUUAAGCAUAUUAUUAAGCGGAGGAAAAGAAACUAACAAGGAUUCCCCUAGUAACGGCGAGUGAAGCGGGAAGAGCUCAAGUUUAAAAUCGGUGUUCCGAGAGGGACAUCGAAUUGUAACCUAGAGACACUAUCUCAGCGUGUGACCCGGGUAUAAAUCCUUUGAAACAGGGUAUCAUAGAGGGUGAGAAUCCCGUCUUUGACCUGGAGUUCGCCGCGUACGAGAGGUGUUCAACGAGUCGCAUAGCUUGGGAGUGCUGUGCUAAAUGGGUGGUAAAUUUCAUCUAAAGCUAAAUAACGACGAGAGACCGAUAGCGAACAAGUACCGUGAGGGAAAGAUGAAAAGAACUUUGAAAAGAGAGUGAAAAAGUACUUGAAAUUGUUAAGAGGGAAGCACAGGAGACCAGUUAUAUCUGGGCCUAUUCUUUUCAUUGGUACAGCUUGUGGGGGUGGCCAGUGAGCUUAAAACCGCUGGUGCUUCUGUGGGUUGUGCCGGUGAACCCUGUAGGUUUGGGUGAGUCAGGAUCAAGUAGAUUCGCGGGAGAAAGCUGCGGGAAGGUAGUGCUGCGGUGUAAAAACCGGGGCAAACUUAUAGCCCGUUUCCAUACCGUGGGUUUGCUUGAGGAAUAUCGAUAAUACCCGCCGUAAGGCUGCGUGUGCUUGGCCCUGGCUUUCUUGUUGGUUCGGAGAACAAAGUUCUGCGGGCUGGCAACGGGGGUUACUGGCUGAGACACAUGACAUGGGUAUUCGCGAUCUUGACGAAAUGGUCUUCUUUGACCCGUCUUGAAACACGGACCAAGGAGUCUAACAUAUAUGCGAGUAUUUGGGUGCAAAACCCUGGUGCGCAAUGAAAGUGAAGGCAGCCUUUGGUUGCUGAGGUAGGAACCCGCAAGGGGGCACUAUCGACCGAUCGUUCAUUUAUGAAAGAUUUGAGUAAGAGCAUAUCUGUUGGGACCCGAAAGAUGGUGAACUAUGCCUGAUCAGGGUGAAGCCAGGGGAAACUCUGGUGGAGGCUCGUAGCGAUACUGACGUGCAAAUCGUUCGUCUGAAUUGGGUAUAGGGGCGAAAGACUAAUCGAACUAUCUAGUUGCUGGUUCACGC